GUGUCAGCAGCCGCGGUAAUACGUAGGUGGCGAGCGUUGUCCGGAUUCAUUGGGUUUAAAGGGUGCGUAGGCGGCCCAAUAAGUCAGUAGUGAAAUACCCCAGCUUAACUGGGGGGGUGCUAUUGAUACUGUAGGGCUUGAGUACAGACGAGGUAGGCGGAAUUGACGGUGUAGCGGUGAAAUGCUUAGAUAUCGUCAAGAACACCGAUAGUGUAGACAGCUUACUAGACUGUAACUGACGCUGAGGCACGAAAGUGUGGGGAUCAAACAGGAUUAGAUACCCCCGUAGUCC
RNAcentral lists this ribosomal RNA (292 nucleotides) under uncultured bacterium. RNAcentral describes it as "partial 16S ribosomal RNA". It matches the Rfam family "Bacterial small subunit ribosomal RNA", at positions 505 to 796 of the family's 1533-position model. The record is from RNAcentral.